GGCGAUUCUUGGUUGAUGCACCCUGGAAUCAGGCUUCCUCCUCUCUGGUUCCGGGUGUGUCACCUGAGAACCAUA
Molecule: non-coding RNA, 75 nt
Organism: Myotis lucifugus (little brown bat)
Lineage: Eukaryota; Metazoa; Chordata; Mammalia; Chiroptera; Vespertilionidae
Source: Rfam